GGGGUUGUGGCUCAGUGGUAGAGCACUUGCCCUGAGUGCAUGAGGCACUGGGUUGGAUCCACAGCACCA
Molecule: transfer RNA, 69 nt
Filed under: Ictidomys tridecemlineatus (thirteen-lined ground squirrel)
Lineage: Eukaryota; Metazoa; Chordata; Mammalia; Rodentia; Sciuridae
Description: Spermophilus tridecemlineatus (thirteen-lined ground squirrel) tRNA
Rfam family: tRNA
About the family: Transfer RNA (tRNA) molecules are approximately 80 nucleotides in length.
Source: Rfam by way of RNAcentral